ACCAGUUGGACAGAUAAGUAGGUACCUACGAUUAUGAGUUAAUUGAUUUCCACCGCGUAGUAUUGUAUGAACAGUUUAUCCGUUGCUUAUUGUCCGUUUGUAUUUUAUCACGUAUUAUCGUUAUAAUAUUUAAUUAUUCUGUGAGUAAUUUGUUAAUUUUAAUUCUAUAUCAUGCCAAAACAUAAAAUCGAAGAUGAACACAGAAUAUUUCAAGACAGUUGGGAGAUUAAAUUUUUCUUUAUUUCUGGUAAGAAACGCCAUGCUUUAUGUUUAAUUUGUCAUAAAACCAUAAAUAUUCCAAAACAUAAUAUUAAUUGUCAUUAAACAACUCACCAUACUGAAUUUUCUAAAAAUUAUCCCCACCCAAAAUCUUAAAAUAAGAGAAGAAAAACUCAUUGAAUUAAAAAAAGGAAUUUUUUUCUAAAAAACAAUCAAUGUUACAAUUCACUAAUAAUAAUGAACUUUCAACAAAAGCACCGUAUAAAAUAACACAUAUGUUAGUAAACCUCAUGAACCCAUUUUCGGGUGCCGAACUAAUGAAAAAAUGUAUGGAAACAGUUGUAAAUACUCUGUUUUAUAAUUUAUCCAAUUUUAAAGAAUUACGUGACCAAAUUUCAAAUCUGCAGUUAUCUAAUACUACAUGUGUUCGUAGGAUCACACAUCUUAGAAAUCAAGUAUUCGAUUUCGUAAUCAACGAAUUAAUAGAUUGCCAAUUUUUUUUUUUAGCAUUAGAUUCGUCAGUAGAUAUAAGCUCUACUUCUCAAUUAACACUUUUUGUUAGAUUUUGUUUAAAAGAUAAUAUUAUUAAAGAAGACUUUUUGAAAGUCAUACCGAUAAAAAGCCAAACUCGUGGAAUGGAUUAUUUUAAUAAUAAUAAUAAAUUUUUAUUUUAUUAUUAGCCUGCCCAAAUCACAACAGUCUAAGACUUAAAACUGUGAAUAAUCUUUCUAAACGUCAAUUUUAAAAACAAAUUAAAGCUCAACCAUAAGUAAGUCACAAUGUCUAUUGAUUCUUGAUGUUUUUUUAACUAAUCAAUGUUUAUUUUUAGAUCACAUACAAUUCAAAUAUGAUACACAAUUCUUGUAAUUGUAUAAAUAGUACAAGUACAGCUAUUAAUGCAAAUAACACAACAAUAUUCAAAUCAGGCAAUACAACAGUGGUGCAGAUUCUUCAAUUUUUCAAAAAUGUCCUUUUUCAUUUUUCAAUUUACCUAAUUUAUUUAAUAAGCCCGCUUCUAUACAAACAAUUGUAGAAGACAAAAUCCUUGAAUCUGUUAGCAAUUGUAAUAAAUUAAGAUCUUGGGUUGUAAAAUAUAAUGUUUCACAUAAUUGUUGUAGUUCUCUCAUUCAGAUAAUAAGUGAAUGUUUCAAAGUAACAAUAUAAGAAAUUUAAUGAACCCCCCCCCCCCUAAACUCAUAAUAUUGUAAAAUAUAACUAAUGGUUUAUAUUAUAUUCACUUGGGAAAAGAAAAUAUGUUACCUAUUUAAAAAAAAUAGUGCUCAUAUUUAUACACCUAAUCAUAUUUUAAAGUUAGUCAUUAAUAUUCAUGGG
RNAcentral lists this long non-coding RNA (1551 nucleotides) under Cinara cedri. The record is from RNAcentral. Lineage: Eukaryota; Metazoa; Arthropoda; Insecta; Hemiptera; Aphididae.